CCUCAUCAGGCCCUCUCCCCUCCCCUCCCACUCUCGUUCAGGGCUUUCUGCCUGUGCCUGAGAAUCCUAGCUCGGUGCAGACUCUGCACCGCGACCACCCCAAGUGCCACGGGUCGCCAAACAGCCAGUGGGAGCGUGGGAGCGUGGGAGAGGGGAGAGUACAGGAAAAAUGCCCAGCCAGGCAAGGCGCCCCACUACCCAAUUCCACGCCGCUCCACUAGGUAUUCCAACGCCUACCCCGAAGCUUUGCAUCAAGUCAUGAUUUUACCGCCUGCACACGGGGCCGAAGGCCUGCCGGGAUCCGAAAGGCAGGGGAAAGUUUGCAGAGCUUUUAAAGUGAUCUCCACAAGUUCCUGCUUAAGUCGUCGGGGUGCCGCCCACAGUCUCCCGCGACGGCUCCUAUCCCCGGCACUAGAGGCCCUCCAGGGCAAUCUGCCAGAGUCCCAGGUGCCUUCUAGUCCCCAAACUCUCAGGGUCACGCUCCCAGAACCGCGGUGGGGCUCUGGAGCGGAGCUCUGAUGUGACAGAGUUCAUUAAGAAGCCUCGAGCCCACUACAAAGCAUUCGGAGUAGUUUCGAGGGCAGGACACAGACCCGCGCCGGAGGCAUCUCUCCACACCCUUCAGAGCACAGUCCUGGUCGCCGGGUCUCCAGAGACAAAGUCAAUAAUCCCUUAGACUUGACUUAAAGGUGGGGGUGAGCAGCACGUAGGAGGCUACACCACAGACAUCGAACAGCCUCCAAGUGCUCCGGGCUACGGGUAGGGUCCUGUCCUCCCUUACACUGGGCCCUGGCGCCACGCACCGUGGGGGCCAGGGUAGCUGCGACCUGGCCGCGUAGCGGUUCCCAGGAUUUUCUCUAGGGGCGCGGGGCUCAUCCCAUGCCAAGAUACCAGCAAAUCUUCUGCCCCUAGCCUGGGUGGGUGGGGGGGCUACUUGCGGCAAGGAACCAGGAUCGCGUGGUCUGCGCGCCGCUAGGGAGACGCGCGCGAGGGAGGUGAUGGGUAGGGCUUGUGCUUUUUCUUUACAGAGUCUUUUGAUUAGUUACGAAGUUUCCUGAUAGACGCCUCUGCCCCAAGGUCGGAGCCUCCCACCAUUGCUCCUUCCCCUCCCUCCUCGCAGCCCCUGGGAGCCGAAUCAGCCGGAGUCUCUGCCCGGCCUGGCAGCGCACUGGGUCCCGGAGGCUGGGACCACGCUGCGCCACACUCCCACCCUCCCCCGGAGCACCGCGCUGGGCGCCUCUCCCUGGGGCGAAACUCGCCGGCCCCGCUCACUGCAAGGAGACACCCGCUGCCUCCCGAGGAACUCCUAAUACCAUCCAUACAGCUUUAAUGCGUUUAUAAUUCGAUAAGUGAUUUCAAUUUGAAAUUGUUAGUAACUAAUUUUAUGGGUAAUUUUUCCACAUCAAAUAUUUAAGCAUCAGAUUAAGGGAGCCAGUUCCGACACAGGAUAAUAAGGGGGUUUCCCCCCCACCCCCCGCGCCUCCGCCUCCCACCGUUUCCUACCGAGGCAUUUUUCCAAAUCCCCAAAAGGUGGCAGUCGAAGCCGAC
RNAcentral lists this long non-coding RNA (1548 nucleotides) under Marmota monax (woodchuck). Lineage: Eukaryota; Metazoa; Chordata; Mammalia; Rodentia; Sciuridae. The record is from RNAcentral.